UACGUAGGGCGCAAGCGUUAUCCGGAAUUAUUGGGCGUAAAGAGCUCGUAGGCGGUUUGUCGCGUCGGCCGUGAAAACUUGGGGCUUAACCCCAAGCUUGCGGUCGAUACGGGCAGACUUGAGUUCGGCAGGGGAGACUGGAAUUCCUGGUGUAGCGGUGAAAUGCGCAGAUAUCAGGAGGAACACCAAUGGCGAAGGCAGAUCUCUGGGACGUAACUGACGCUGAGGAGCGAAAGCAUGGGGAGCGAACAGG
RNAcentral lists this ribosomal RNA (253 nucleotides) under uncultured bacterium. Its description in RNAcentral is "partial 16S ribosomal RNA". It matches the Rfam family "Bacterial small subunit ribosomal RNA", at positions 524 to 776 of the family's 1533-position model. The record is from RNAcentral.